UUCUGAUUUUCAGUGUCUUUAACGUGUUAGGGAAGUGUGUAAAGUCGAUUUAUUGCUGUGGCAUAUGGUUUGAAACAUCUCAAAUAGUUUAGCAUCAAGAAUAUUUAGUGGUUUCCAACUGCAGAAUUACAUUUUCGGGCAAAAAGUAAGAUAUACAUAAACAAAAGGUAUAUAUAUAUCGAUGUAUAUUCAAAUAGAAUCUUAUUUUUAAACUUCAGUGACAGAAAAGCAUAUCAUAAAGUUCAGUUUUAUAGCAAUUGUUUUUGAACUAGACGCCAAACAAUUAGCUUGAGGAGAAAACUCUUACACCAGUGGACAUGUGGAAAAGUGUUUAUUUAUGGGAAUUGCCAGCCUCAUCAAGGAACAAGGAAGAGCAAGGCAGCAUGUACUUGCCCCAGGGAAACACUGUGCCUUUAUCUAUGCACUGUGCUACUCACAUAUGGUAGCACUUUUAUAUCACGCACAUUACAAUGUUAGUGCGACGGACAUUGAGAGCUAUUGGAAUACCCCCUGUUCUAUGCCCAGCGAGGAAAAAACUGUUAAAUUAAUUAACUUAUAAUGCUUGCGGUCUGGAGCCCAGCACUUCUGUGAACUUGAAUGAAUGAGUUCUAUGAACAAGGCUUAUUGGGAUAAGGAAAGGAUUGUAUCGCAAGGGGUAGCUGAUAAUAGGGAUAAAUGACACAACUACACAAAAAUACAUAUAAAUAGAUAUAUUACUUGUUGUUUAUUGUUUACAUAAAUACUUUUUACAGAUAAAAAAUCUUUGGAGCAUUUUUAAGAAUAAGUCUUACAUCUAAUUACAUCCUUUAUAUGAUAUUGCCUAACUGUUUACAAUAAUUAAAUAUUUAUAUUUGUAAUACAAACUAUGGGAACAGUCCGUAAAAUAAAUUCUGCUUUGUAGAGCUUCCAAAAUAUUCGCAAUUACAUUAUUUGUUUGAAAAUCCAUAAAAAAUAGAUGUAAAUAUACAUUUCACUUAACUAA
Long non-coding RNA from Dendroctonus ponderosae (mountain pine beetle), 982 nucleotides. RefSeq lists it as uncharacterized. NCBI's taxonomy places the organism in Eukaryota, Metazoa, Arthropoda, Insecta, Coleoptera, Curculionidae. The record is from RefSeq and is a predicted model, not a curated record. The transcript is spliced from 2 exons.